RNAcentral lists this ribosomal RNA (443 nucleotides) under uncultured bacterium. Its description in RNAcentral is "partial 16S ribosomal RNA". It matches the Rfam family "Bacterial small subunit ribosomal RNA", at positions 338 to 795 of the family's 1533-position model. The record is from RNAcentral.
CCUACGGGAGGCUGCAGUGGGGAAUAUUGGACAAUGGGGGGAACCCUGAUCCAGCGACGCCGCGUGAGUGAAGAAGUACUUCGGUAUGUAAAGCUCUAUUAGUAGGGAAGAAAGAAAUGACGGUACCUGAUUAAGAAGCCUCGGCUAACUACGUGCCAGCAGCCGCGGCAAUACGUAGGCGGCAAGCGUUAUCCGGAUGUACUGGGUGUAAAGGGAGCGUAGACGGCGAUGUAAGUCUGAAGUGAAAGUCGGGGGCCCAACCCCCGAACUGCUUUGGAAACUGGAUGGCUGGAGUGCAGGAGAGGUAAGUGGAAUUCCUGGUGUAGCGGUGAAAUGCGUAGAUAUUAGGAGGAACACCAGUGGCGAAGGCGGCUUACUGGACUGUAACUGACGUUGAGGCUCGAAAGCGUGGGGAGCAAACAGGAUUAGAUACCCCGGUAGUC